Molecule: ribosomal RNA, 437 nt
Filed under: uncultured anaerobic ammonium-oxidizing bacterium
Lineage: Bacteria
Description: bacterial SSU rRNA
Rfam family: Bacterial small subunit ribosomal RNA
Source: RNAcentral
GUGAACGAGCGACGCCGCGUGGGCGAUGAAGGCCUUCGGGUCGUAAAGCCCUGUCACAGGGGGGAGAAACGCAUCCAGCCGAAUAAGCUGGGUGCUUGACGUUGCCCCUGGAGAAAGACCCGGCUAACUCCGUGCCAGCAGCCGCGGUAAUACGGAGGGGUCAAGCGUUAUUCGGAUUUACUGGGCGUAAAGGGCGCGUAGGCGGGAUCACGGGUCGGCCGUGAAAUCCACCGGCUCAACCGGUGAACUGCGGUCGAAACUGUGAUUCUUGAGCUUGGUAGAGGAAGGCGGAAUUCCUGGUGUAGCGGUGGAAUGCGUAGAUAUCAGGAAGAACACCGGUAGCGAAGGCGGCCUUCUGGGCCAUGGCUGACGCUGAGGCGCGAAAGCUGGGGGAGCAAACAGGCUUAGAUACCCUGGUAGUCCCAGCCUUAAACGAU